RNAcentral lists this ribosomal RNA (253 nucleotides) under uncultured bacterium. RNAcentral describes it as "partial 16S ribosomal RNA". It matches the Rfam family "Bacterial small subunit ribosomal RNA", at positions 524 to 776 of the family's 1533-position model. The record is from RNAcentral.
UACAGAAGGGGAAAGCGUUGUUCGGAAUUACUGGGCGUAAAGGGCGCGUAGGCGGCCUGUUAAGUCGGACGUGAAAUCCCUCGGCUCAACCGGGGAACUGCGUCCGAUACUGGCGGGCUUGAAUUCGGGAGAGGGAUGUGGAAUUCCAGGUGUAGCGGUGAAAUGCGUAGAUAUCAGGAGGAACACCAAUGGCGAAGGCAGCUCGCUGGGACGUGACUGACGCUGAGACGCGAAAGCGUGGGGAGCAAACAGG